RNAcentral lists this long non-coding RNA (1276 nucleotides) under Gallus gallus (chicken). Its description in RNAcentral is "lncRNA (ENSGALG00010025749.1)". The record is from RNAcentral. Lineage: Eukaryota; Metazoa; Chordata; Aves; Galliformes; Phasianidae.
GUGUGCACAAAGGCCAGCGGCUACAUGUGUACUUUGUGUGCUUUUGGUCCUGUGUGCUUUUGGUCUGGCUUAAUAGGCACCUACUCCCCGAAGCUGUGAGCAGAUGCCUAGUGGGACUGUCAGAGAUGUGUAUAUCUAGCUGCUGCAGAUAUCACCGCAGUGAGAAACUGGAGGCACACACCUCUUUCAGAAAGAGAGAAAAAGCACGCAGUGAGAAGCUGAAGGUGCUUCAUUCACUUAAUUGUUUUGCAAAAAAGGAAGGGAGAGGAGAGGAGAGGAGAGGAGAGGAGAGGAGAGGAGAGGAGGCAAUUACAGGGUAUUUAAGUCCUUCCUCUGGGGGGAAUUCAGAGCUCUCCAAGUCUUUUCCAUUCAAGAAAAAAAGCGUGACAACAAUCAAAAUGUGGAAGCAGAAUCAUGUAAACUUCUGGCUGAGAAACAAAUCUUUUCUAUAGAAUGUCUUGUGUCUCUCUCUAAGAAUAAACAAAUACAUUUUUAGCAGCGAGAAGGUUUGUUCACCAACUCAAGUAACAAAUUCUUCUUCCUUGACACCUACAAGUGAGGUCUGGCUGCUUUCAGGAUUAUGCCUUUCGGUCAAACUCAAGUUAUUCGGAUCCCUAUAUACGUAUCAGGGAACGAGACUCUAUGGGCUACAUCAUGCAGGCAGUGAGAGCAGAUGAUGCAAUUGUCCGUUCUGUCCCACUGCAAUCAUUUUAAAAGGCCCGCAUGACUUUUGGAGGAGUAUCACUUUGUAAUUCAUCUGAGCUGAAAGUGCUACAGCAUCACUUUGGCAAAAGAGAGAGCUCCAAACCAGGCUCAACUGUACUGAAGGCUCACAAAGGCAGAUUGCGUUCUCAGUAUUAGAUGGUAGAACUCUUGGGGACUAGGAAGACUUGUGCAAAAAAAAGAAAUGCUUCUUUGCACCUUUGACGGAAGUUCUAAGUGACAGUGCAACACGAUACGCUUCGUGGACUGAAACGAGUGAUGUCGCUGCAGAGGACAUGUUGGGUAACGCUGUGCACAGGUAUCCUGGCUCUGGCCAUGGAGCACUGCUUGCACAGCUUCAUGGAUAGAGAUUUCCUACCGGUGUACCACCACAGAAAACUUUCUUGAACGUGAGCGUUUUCGAACACUGGAAGAGGCUUCCUAGCAAGGUGGCUGGUGCCUGGUGUCUGUCCAUGUCCAAGCUUGUCAAUGCUCUUAAUAAUAUACUUUCACUUUUGUUAGCCCUGUAGGUCCCUCCCAACUAUUUCCCUUCCCUUCCCUUCCCUUCCCUUCC